This 776-nucleotide ribosomal RNA is filed under the name uncultured Neocallimastigales. Its description in RNAcentral is "partial large subunit ribosomal RNA". It matches the Rfam family "Eukaryotic large subunit ribosomal RNA", at positions 26 to 628 of the family's 3401-position model. Lineage: Eukaryota; Fungi; Neocallimastigomycota; Neocallimastigomycetes; Neocallimastigales. The record is from RNAcentral.
CGUCUAUAUACGUAUAGCAUAUCAAUAAGCGGAGGAAAAGAAACUAACUAGGAUUCCCUCAGUAACGGCGAGUGAAGCGGGAAGAGCUCAAAUUUGAAAUCUUCAAGGUUCUACCUUGACGAAUUGUAGUUUAAAGAAGUGUUUUCUGUUGGAGUUUCGGUAAAAGUUCUUUGGAAUAGGACAUCAUAGAGGGUGAGAAUCCCGUAUUUGACCAGUUACUUUCCAGCUGUGUGAUACACUUUCAAAGAGUCGGAUUGUUUGGGAAUGCAGUCCAAAAUGGGUGGUAAAUUUCAUCUAAAGCUAAGUACUGGCGAGAGACCGAUAACGAACAAGUACCGUGAGGGAAAGAUGAAAAGAACUUUGAAAAGAGAGUUAAACAGUACGUGAAAUUGUCAAAAGGGAAGCGUUUGACACCAGUGUUGUUUUCUCGAAAAUCAAUUAAAAAUGGCGGGAUUUUGUGUUGUAUUGACUUUAUCAGCUUUCUGCACUUUUUUCUUGUCUUUUUUAAUGCACUUUUCGUUUAACAAGUCAACAUCAAUUUCUUUUGUUGUAAAAGGGUCAUUGGAAGGUGGCUUUCUUUUCGGAGAAAGUAUUUAUAGCCUUUGACUUCUGCAAUCGGAGAGAUUGAGGUCUGCAGCGUAGAUCCUUCGGGGUUAGAUGCAUUUGUGCUAAGUUAUAGCCUUUCAUAGACAACUUGUUGACUAUGAUCAGUCAUGUAGCUUACUCGCUUAUGUUAUUUUACCUACGCUUAGGAUGUUGACGAUCAGCUGAGCGCG